AGAGACAUGGGUGGAGCCUGCUGCCCUCCGCCAGGCUGGGUGUUCUUUAGGGAGCUCUCGCCUUGUAAAGUUCAUCUACACCGUAGUACAGUACAAAAUGAUCUACAACUAUUGAGUGGACCAACUGAAAUCAUUUGUCAAUCCUCUUUGCAAAUGAACUUGUGCAAUGUAUUAAAACAUUUUUAAAGGUUCAA
Homo sapiens (human) is the source of this 194-nucleotide long non-coding RNA. RefSeq annotates it as COX18 divergent transcript. Lineage: Eukaryota; Metazoa; Chordata; Mammalia; Primates; Hominidae. The transcript has 2 exons. The record is from RefSeq and is a predicted model, not a curated record.